AAGGUGUGUUGGUCGAUGUUCACAGGAGAAGAGAAGGGGGUUCUCAUCAAGAACCCUAAACACUCAAAAAUUUAACAAAAUCAAAGAGAAAUCGAGCCAGGAAAUUGGGGCUUUUAAUAAAAUCGUGAUCACCAAGCUUAGGGGAUCACAAGUUUGACGCCUAACAAGCUAGAUGGAAGCUUGUGGAUGAAACGGGUCAAACGGAGCAAGUACGAAAAGAAAAGCGUGGCAUGGAUGCGAGGUAAGUAAAGCUUACGCCCCUUUACAUUAUUUACAAAUUACCUAAUUGCAAGUAUUGUAUAUGGAGGCUACUAAGUGAUUGGUAUAUGAUGUUCCGACACGAUUCAAUGAGAGUCUGAACAAGGGAAAAUGGUAAGAAAUCAUGAAUUUUGGUAAAAGGGGCAAAAAGGUAAAUUAGUCAUGUAAUGACGAACAAAUAAAAACGGUUUUAAGUAAAACGAGUUUAAGGGAAAACCGGGACAGGUUUAAAGGGAUGAAAUGGUAAUUAAAUACCAUCUCAUACAGAUAAAUGGUCAAUUAGACUAAAUGGGUUAAAUGGUGUUGUUAACACCAUUUGACAAUUACAUUUGACAAUUGCUUUUUGAGUUUUGUAAUCACAGGAAAUAACAUAAGCGUGCGUUGCUUUAACUAGAAAGAUUUAAAGCAAAAGUUAUGUAAACGGGUCAAUACCUUGACCCGAGCCAGGUACGUAUAAAUAAGCUUUUAGUUAAUCAUACAAUUUUUGGUCAAAUAUUUAGCGAAAGUCCUCUGUCGUAAAGUGAGGGACUAAAGUUGACCAAAACACCCUUGAAGGGUAUAUUGGGCAAACGAUCCAUAGGGGUUGUUUAGGAACUUGCGUUAAGAUUAUGGAAUCAUUAAAUAUGAAUAAAAAGUUAUAGAAAUACACAUUCGUGGGUCAAAUGCACAAAAAUGGUCAUUUGCGUAAAAUGACCAACUGAUGGGUAAAUUAGGGAUAAUAGGUUAGUUAUGCUAAAUCCGCCACCAAAAUAGUUGUGGUGGAACAUAAGCAGAUAUUUAGUUGUGGCAUUGCGAAGUAUGAAAAGAAAAGUGCUAGUUCUAGACCAAAAUGCAUAAAAGAUCCCCUAAACGGGUCAAAAUGAAUUACGCGUGUAACUUGGGUGUUUGCCGCGUAAUUCACAAAACUUAUGAAUCCAAGAUAGAUAUUUUGAGUUAAAUACCUUGGUUUAUGAUUUAUGAUUAACUAGAAACAAGUUUGGAGGUCUUAAAUACAAACGAGUCAAAAUGUGGAUUUUGAGUAAUAAGCCGGAGACUUAAAGUCUGAAAUUUUGUUAAUCCGGAUGUUGGAUUUUAACUCCAUGAGAUGGAGAAUUAAAUUACGGUCACGUAGGAAAAAGAAUCGUGUAAAACGGAUAAAAAACGAGAAAGUUAUGCUCGUUUCCGUAAAAUCCGGUUGUGCUGGGAAUAUGCAGCAACCAGCUGCAACAGUCUGAUGAAAACAAGCCGUGGCGUAGCGCGACGGGGAAGGCCCCAGGCCGUGGCGCUACGCGAGCGGGUGUCAGUUUCGCGAAAAUCGUUUAUUUUAACCGUUAAUGCAUUACGAACCCGUUUAAAUACUUUCUAAGUUACGUGUGGCUAAUCCAACUCAUGUUUUAUGAGUUUCAGGUAAAAUUUUAGCACCGGAGGACGAUCAAGCACAAUAAAGAACCAAACACGAUCAAGAAAUAAGCUCCCGCAUGACGUUUCGUUGUUACUUUUAAAUGACGAACUUAAUUACAUUAUGUUCUAAACUUUUAAAUUGUAAAAGGUUUUAAUAAGCCCAUAUUUCCAAUGUAUAUGUAAUCUUAAUUACAUGAUUGUUUUCGUAAAACAUACGUUAAACCUCGAUUUAUAAGAACGGGUGUUACAAGUUGGUAUAAGAGCUCAUGGUUAAAAAGUAAAGUGUGUUCGGUUCGAGGCUUGAUCGCAAAUCCGGUAAGUACGUGUAUUUUAAUGGUUUAACAUGUUAAAGUGUUGUAAAUAACUCAUAGGGUUAUCGUGUAAUAUACGAUACCUCAAUUAAAUAAUAGAUAUAGUUAACAAAAUUAUGUGCGUUAACAGGUAUAGUAGAAAAGCCUUGUACUAACUUUUGUGAAUGUUUUAAUUGGAGGAAACUCGCAUUUGAAGAUGAUGAGGGUUGACCAAAUUACGGAUAUGAUAGAAGAAUGGUCCGAAGUAUGAAAAGUGGAGCAUGCUCACCAAGGACCAAAUCGCGUAACAAUCGCGAAUAAAAGUAAAGGCAAGGAAAGCCCGUCGGGGCAAGCAUUACCAGUUUGACGCCUAACAAGCUAGAUGGAAGCUUGUGGAUGAAACGGGUCAAACGGAGCAAGUACGAAAAGAAAAGCGUGGCGUGGAUGCGAGGUAAAAUUUUAGCACCGGAGGACGAUCAAGCACAAUGAAGAACCGAACACAAUCAAGAAAUAAGCUUCCGCAUGAUGUUUCGUUGUUACUUUUAAAUGACGAACUUAAUUACAUUAUGUUCUAAACUUUUAAAUUGUAAAAGGUUUUAAUAAGCCCAUAUUUCCGAUGUAUAUGUAAUCUUAAUUACAUGAUUGUUUUCGUAAAACAUACGUUAAACCUCGAUUUAUAAGAAUGGGUGUUACAAUUUUUGUC
This 2631-nucleotide long non-coding RNA is filed under the name Helianthus annuus (common sunflower). Its description in RNAcentral is "hypothetical non coding rna". Lineage: Eukaryota; Viridiplantae; Streptophyta; Magnoliopsida; Asterales; Asteraceae. The record is from RNAcentral.